UAUGUGAUCGUCUCUCGCAUAUCAAUAAGCGGAGGAAAAGAAACUAACAAGGAUUCCCCUAGUAACGGCGAGUGAAGCGGGAAGAGCUCAAAUUUGAAAUCUUAAAGGGUUUCCCUUUACGAAUUGUAGUUUAAAGAAGUGUUUUCUGUUGAGGUUUUGGUAAAAGUUCUUUGGAAUAGGACAUCAUAGAGGGUGAGAAUCCCGUAUUUGACCUUUACUUUCAACCUUGUGAUACACUUUCAAAGAGUCGGAUUGUUUGGGAAUGCAGUCCAAAAUGGGUGGUAAAUUUCAUCUAAAGCUAAAUAUUGGCGAGAGACCGAUAGCGAACAAGUACCGUGAGGGAAAGAUGAAAAGAACUUUGAAAAGAGAGUUAAACAGUACGUGAAAUUGUCAAAAGGGAAGCGUUUGACACCAGUGUUGUUUUUCUGAAAAUCAAUUAAAGAACUGUUUAUGCUAAGCUGUUUAGACUUUAUCAGCUAUCUGUUUAGUUUUAGGCUUUUCUUUAAUGCACUUUUCAGUUAACAAGUCAACAUCAAUUUCUUUUGCUGUAAAAAAGCUUGAGGAAGGUGGCUUGAGAUUCGUCUUAAGUGUUUAUAGCCUCUUGCCUAUGCAGUCGGAGAGAUUGAGGUCUGCAGCGUAGAUCCUUCGGGGCUAAAUGCAUUUGUGCUAAGUUAUAGCAUUUUAUAGACAAUUUGUUGACUAUGAUUUGUCUUGUAGCUUACUCGCUUAUGUUAUUUUACCUACGCUUAGGAUGUUGAUCUACAGAGCGAGAGU
RNAcentral lists this ribosomal RNA (774 nucleotides) under uncultured Neocallimastigales. RNAcentral describes it as "partial large subunit ribosomal RNA". It matches the Rfam family "Eukaryotic large subunit ribosomal RNA", at positions 24 to 635 of the family's 3401-position model. The record is from RNAcentral. Lineage: Eukaryota; Fungi; Neocallimastigomycota; Neocallimastigomycetes; Neocallimastigales.